RNAcentral lists this ribosomal RNA (484 nucleotides) under uncultured bacterium. Its description in RNAcentral is "partial 16S ribosomal RNA". It matches the Rfam family "Bacterial small subunit ribosomal RNA", at positions 30 to 507 of the family's 1533-position model. The record is from RNAcentral.
AUUGAACGCUGGCGGCAGGCCUAACACAUGCAAGUCGAGCGGAUGAAGGGAGCUUGCUCCUGGAUUCAGCGGCGGACGGGUGAGUAAUGCCUAGGAAUCUGCCUGGUAGUGGGGGAUAACGUCGGGAAACGGGCGCUAAUACCGCAUACGUCCUGAGGGAGAAAGUGGGGGAUCUUCGGACCUCACGCUAUCAGAUGAGCCUAGGUCGGAUUAGCUAGUUGGUGGGGUAAAGGCCUACCAAGGCGACGAUCCGUAACUGGUCUGAGAGGAUGAUCAGUCACACUGGAACUGAGACACGGUCCAGACUCCUACGGGAGGCAGCAGUGGGGAAUAUUGGACAAUGGGCGAAAGCCUGAUCCAGCCAUGCCGCGUGUGUGAAGAAGGUCUUCGGAUUGUAAAGCACUUUAAGUUGGGAGGAAGGGCAGUAAGUUAAUACCUUGCUGUUUUGACGUUACCAACAGAAUAAGCACCGGCUAACUUCGUG